This 120-nucleotide ribosomal RNA is filed under the name Helianthus annuus (common sunflower). Lineage: Eukaryota; Viridiplantae; Streptophyta; Magnoliopsida; Asterales; Asteraceae. The record is from RNAcentral.
GGUUGCGAUCAUACCAGCACUAAUGCACCGGAUUCCAUCAGAACUCCGCAGUUAAGCGUGCUUGGGCGAUAGUAGUACUAGGAUGGGUGACCCCCUGGGAAGUCCUCGUGUUGCAACCCC